Molecule: long non-coding RNA, 309 nt
Filed under: Sus scrofa (pig)
Lineage: Eukaryota; Metazoa; Chordata; Mammalia; Artiodactyla; Suidae
Description: lncRNA (ENSSSCG00005021855.1)
Source: RNAcentral
AUGCUCCUCUCAGCUGCUUUCAAGUCUGUCCCAGCCAAAAUCAGAUGGUGCACCUUCUCAAAGCAAUGUCAAGAGAUUAAGGAAAACUGGCAAUCAAUCACCAUCCUUUUUCAGAGGAAAAGAACACCCAAGAGUAGAAAGGAAAGUUCUGGGAGAAGUGAUUUUCAUCCAUCUACUUUGGAAUUUAGUCGAUUUCUGGAAGGAGUUGAACAGAGGAAGCAAGCAGAAGAUGAAAAGUUUAAAAACAGGAGAAUCUGCUUUGUGUGCAUUAAAUACCUCCGCAGGUCUUAUUGUUUUAGAAAGUUUUGA